RNAcentral lists this long non-coding RNA (1082 nucleotides) under Fukomys damarensis (Damara mole-rat). Its description in RNAcentral is "lncRNA (ENSFDAG00000031337.1)". Lineage: Eukaryota; Metazoa; Chordata; Mammalia; Rodentia; Bathyergidae. The record is from RNAcentral.
GUACUGCUAACCGUGGUAAAUUUCUCUUCCUGGCCUUUCUCGCCUUCCUCACUCACAAUCAUUUGACGAGGCUGCCCUCUGGUGGUCACUGAGAACCGAUUCCGCAGCUCUCUCCCAACCACGUAAGAAUUUUGUCUCCGCCUGCCUCUAACAUAAGGGCUAAUUCACCACAAGUUACAGUGUUUCCCUCUAAGACUUUCUGAAAUACGGCGACCAAGUCAGACACACAGAGAGGCAUCCAUUGUCGAGAGAGAUUAUGGAGAACUCUUCUUUGCCAAUUCUUUUGCAAACUUACAUAGUUCUGGAACGUCGUUUGGUGAAGGCAGCUUACCCCACCUCAGAAGAUCAGUGCCUGUUUUCACAUUUGUUGUCGUCCCUGCUGGAGAAUGAAGAAUGAGUCUGAUCUCUAAAGGCGCAGCCCGCAGGAAGCCCCAUGAUUCUCUGCACACUUCUGCUGUCAAUCCCAUUGUAGGCCGAGCAGUAUUCAAACCACAGGCUCCAAACUCCCAGAUUCUGGAAAGACUGAAGCCCAUCUGCCAUCAGACAGAGAGAAUCAAACUUCACAAUGCAACGCUGAACUUCGGGGUCAGCCUCAUAGACUCCACUGAACACGCAUUCUCAACGCUCUUUUGUAUUACAAAGACUCAUGGAAGAUAAGAAAAUGCUUUUUUCCUCUACAAUAGUUGGUUUUCAAUGAGCAGGGUAGUGAUGUUUGUACUGUGGAGUUCAUUAACAAGUGUACUUAUAAUGCUCAUUUAAUUUUUGACACAUAAUUAGGCAAUAUAUUGAACAUGCUUUUUGUUCUUUGUAUUCUUGUGACACCUUUUUUGGAUUCAGGGUCUGUUUUACAGGGAAGAAGCUAAUUUACACAAAACAUAGAAGAUUUAAGUAAAGCACAAGUUCAGAACCACUGCAAACUUGAAUCAUUACUUUUUUUGCACUGUUUUCUGUGCUGAAUGAUCUAUUUGAAUGCUGUUUAUUCUAAAUCUAAGAAUGCAAAAAUAUAAGUUAAGGAAUUCACACUUAGCUAGCUGAAAGGGAAAAUAUCAUUAGAAACUGUUACUGCUGUAUUUUAAUCCAAC